RNAcentral lists this ribosomal RNA (253 nucleotides) under uncultured bacterium. RNAcentral's name for it is "partial 16S ribosomal RNA". It matches the Rfam family "Bacterial small subunit ribosomal RNA", at positions 524 to 776 of the family's 1533-position model. The record is from RNAcentral.
UACAGAGGUCCCAAGCGUUGUUCGGAUUCACUGGGCGUAAAGGGUGCGUAGGCGGUCGGGUAAGUCUGAUGUGAAAUCUCACAGCCUAACUGUGAAACUGCAUUGGAUACUAUUCGGCUUGAGAGUUGGAGGGGGGACUGGAAUUCUUGGUGUAGCAGUGAAAUGCGUAGAUAUCAAGAGGAACACCAGUGGCGAAGGCGAGUCCCUGGACAACUUCUGACGCUGAGGCACGAAAGCUAGGGGAGCAAACAGG